This 437-nucleotide ribosomal RNA is filed under the name uncultured bacterium. RNAcentral describes it as "partial 16S ribosomal RNA". It matches the Rfam family "Bacterial small subunit ribosomal RNA", at positions 29 to 507 of the family's 1533-position model. The record is from RNAcentral.
AGCGAACGCUGGCGGCAGGCUUAACACAUGCAAGUCGAGCGGGCAUCCUUGUGGUGUCAGCGGCAGACGGGUGAGUAACGCGUGGGAACGUGCCCUUCGGUUCGGAAUAACUCAGGGAAACUUGAGCUAAUACCGGAUACGUGCGAGAGCAGAAAGGUUUAUCUGCCGAAGGAUCGGCCCGCGUCUGAUUAGCUAGUUGGUGAGGUUAUGGCUCACCAAGGCGACGAUCAGUAGCUGGUCUGAGAGGAUGAUCAGCCACACUGGGACUGAGACACGGCCCAGACUCCUACGGGAGGCAGCAGUGGGGAAUAUUGGACAAUGGGGGCAACCCUGAUCCAGCCAUGCCGCGUGAGUGAUGACGGCCCUAGGGUUGUAAAGCUCUUUUCUUCGGGACGAUAAUGACGGUACCGGAGGAAUAAGCCCCGGCUAACUUCGUG